UGGGGAAUAUUGGACAAUGGGCGAAAGCCUGAUCCAGCCAUGCCGCGUGUGUGAAGAAGGUCUUCGGAUUGUAAUGCACUUUAAGUUGGGAGGAAGGGCAGUAAGCGAAUACCUUGCUGUUUUGACGUUACCGACAGAAUAAGCACCGGCUAACUCUGUGCCAGCAGCCGCGGUAAUACAGAGGGUGCAAGCGUUAAUCGGAAUUACUGGGCGUAAAGCGCGCGUAGGUGGUUCGUUAAGUUGAAUGUGAAAGCCCCGGGCUCAACCUGGGAACUGCAUCCCAAGCUGGCGAGUUAUAGUAGGGCAGAGGGUGGUGGAAUUUCCUGUGUAGCGGUGAAAUGCGUAGAUAUAGGAAGGAACACCAGUGGCGAAGGCGACCACCUGGGCUCAUACUGACACUGAGGUGCGAAAGCGUGGGGAGCAAACAGG
Molecule: ribosomal RNA, 429 nt
Filed under: Pseudomonadota bacterium
Lineage: Bacteria; Pseudomonadati; Pseudomonadota
Description: Proteobacteria bacterium partial 16S ribosomal RNA
Rfam family: Bacterial small subunit ribosomal RNA
Source: RNAcentral